Molecule: long non-coding RNA, 539 nt
Organism: Magallana angulata
Lineage: Eukaryota; Metazoa; Mollusca; Bivalvia; Ostreida; Ostreidae
Exons: 2
Source: RefSeq, a predicted model, not a curated record
GUUAUUUAUAUAGUAUGACAUCACAAUGGUCAUUAUGGUCAGUGUAAACCUGUUUUAGUUAAUUAUAUAUCACAUGGUCAAUUCUAUUUUUGAAUUCUCAAUUUCAUUGGUCCUUUAAAUUCCCUCUCUUUGCUUUGUCCUUUUUGAUCUGAUCUUCAUACUGACCAGAUGUAUUUAUCUUAAGACCAAGAAGAAAUCUAUUGACUGUAAGUAAUUGUUUUAUAUUUUAUGCUAUUAAGAUUACUGCUUAUUAAUAAAGUAUAUUAUAUUUGCUAGAUAAGUAAAUGAUAUAUAGUGAAAUGUAAAUCUAUUUAAAUGUAAAUUAUCAUGAGUGAAAACUUAGUGUUUGAGCAACACUCAUUAUAGUUAUUUUAAUAAUCUUAAGCUAGAUAACCUAAAUGUAGUUUUAAGAGUAUUGCUAUAUGUAUAUAGAUUCCAUACCUGAAGAAUAUAGAAGGAUCAUGCAGAUGCAGAUCAAUUAGGCUUUGUGUCACACAUAGAGCUUAUGAUAUAAUAUAAAGUCAUAAUAGAGAACCCUA